AAGCCUCCCUCCCUGCCCAGUCCAGGCAUGUUCCCCAGUUCCCUGCAGAAGGCACUCUGUUGGAGAAGGCCACACCUUGGUUUACUUGUGUUCCAGGACAGCUGGACCUAAGAGAGUGAGACCUCUUGCCCGAAUAACCUGGAAUUUAAAGAAAGGCUUGAUCAUUAAGAAGACCCAGCCAGGGAGUCCAGUACCUUGGCGUUAGUCCAUCCCCUUAUGGGCAGUGUUCUGGGAGGUGAUACUGAACAGAGACUCCAGAGCCAGGUGUACACCUGCCAGGUGAAGACAAAAUUGAAGAUAAGCAGCUCCCCACUUCUCCUGCAGAACCAGAGAAACAGGCAUGGAACCAGGAAACAGACCACAAUGACUUUGAGACACUGUCCCAC
Molecule: long non-coding RNA, 386 nt
Organism: Canis lupus familiaris (dog)
Lineage: Eukaryota; Metazoa; Chordata; Mammalia; Carnivora; Canidae
Exons: 3
Source: RefSeq, a predicted model, not a curated record